Molecule: transfer RNA, 73 nt
Filed under: Chelonia mydas (Green sea turtle)
Lineage: Eukaryota; Metazoa; Chordata; Testudines; Cheloniidae
Rfam family: tRNA
About the family: Transfer RNA (tRNA) molecules are approximately 80 nucleotides in length.
Source: Rfam by way of RNAcentral
CCCUGGCUAGCUCAGUUGGUAGAGCGUCAGACUUUUAAUCUGAAUGUCCAGCGUUCAAGUCCCUGGUUGGGUG